This 311-nucleotide ribosomal RNA is filed under the name uncultured eukaryote. Its description in RNAcentral is "partial large subunit ribosomal RNA". It matches the Rfam family "Eukaryotic large subunit ribosomal RNA", at positions 40 to 350 of the family's 3401-position model. The record is from RNAcentral.
AUAUCAGUAGGUGGAGGAAAAGAAACCAAUUGGGAUCCCCUCAGUAGCAGCGAGUGAAAGGGGGUGCGCUCGUCCCUGAAUCUAGUACCAACUAGAGUUGUAGGGCGGCAAUUGUCCAGCGCGGUGCUCAUAUAAACCUGCUCGAUUGCUGAGCCAUUUGGGUCCAAAGAGGGUGUAAGUCCCGUCUUAGAGACCACCGCGCGUGACACAAAUUGUCCUGGGAGUAAUGCUGGUUGAUACUCCAGCACCAAAGUGGGAGAUGUCCAUCUUCCAAAGCUAAAUACAUACCCGAGACCGAUAGCGCACAAGUA